UAAUGCAUGGUUAGCUACCCUCGGGACUGGGAUAGCGGCGGGAAACUGCCGGUAAUACCAGAUGAUGUCUUCGGACCAAACGUGUAAACCGGCCCGAGGAGGUGACCAUGUCCUAUCAGCUUGUUGGCGGGGUAACGGCCCACCAAGGCAAAGACGGGUAUGGGGCGUGAGAGCGUGCCCCCACUCACUGGGACUGAGAACUGCCCAGACACCUACGGGUGGCUGCAGUCGAGAAUCUUCGGCAAUGGGCGCAAGCCUGACCGAGCGACGCCGCGUGCGGGAUGAAGGCCUUCGGGUUGUAAACCGCUGUCGUAGGGGAGGAAGGUCUGGUGUAGAACCAGGCUUGACCGAUCCUAGGAGGAAGGGCCGGCUAAUCUCGUGCCAGCAGCCGCGGUAAUACGAGAGGCCCAAACGUUAUUCGGAAUUACUGGGCUUAAAGAGUCCGUAGGCGGCGCGGCAAGUGGGGUGUGAAAGCCCUCGGCUCAACCGAGGAAUUGCGCUCCAAACUGCCGUGCUUGAGGAACCUAGAGGUGGGCAGAACUGAUGGUGGAGCGGUGAAAUGCG
RNAcentral lists this ribosomal RNA (564 nucleotides) under uncultured bacterium. Its description in RNAcentral is "bacterial SSU rRNA". It matches the Rfam family "Bacterial small subunit ribosomal RNA", at positions 111 to 690 of the family's 1533-position model. The record is from RNAcentral.